AGUGAACGCUGGCGGUAGGCCUAACACAUGCAAGUCGACCGGCAGCACAGUAAGAGCUUGCUCUUACGGGUGGCGAGUGGCGGACGGGUGAGGCAUACAUCGGAAUCUACUUUUUCGUGGGGGAUAACGUAGGGAAACUUACGCUAAUACCGCAUACGACCUACGGGUGAAAGCAGGGGAUCUUCGGACCUUGCGCGAUUGAAUGAGCCGAUGUCGGAUUAGCUAGUUGGCGGGGUAAAGGCCCACCAAGGCGACGAUCCGUAGCUGGUCUGAGAGGAUGAUCAGCCACACUGGAACUGAGACACGGUCCAGACUCCUACGGGAGGCAGCAGUGGGGAAUAUUGGACAAUGGGCGCAAGCCUGAUCCAGCCAUACCGCGUGGGUGAAGAAGGCCUUCGGGUUGUAAAGCCCUUUUGUUGGGAAAGAAAAGCAGCAGGUUAAUACCCCGCUGUUCUGACGGUACCCAAAGAAUAAGCACCGGCUAACUUCGUG
This 492-nucleotide ribosomal RNA is filed under the name uncultured bacterium. RNAcentral describes it as "partial 16S ribosomal RNA". It matches the Rfam family "Bacterial small subunit ribosomal RNA", at positions 29 to 507 of the family's 1533-position model. The record is from RNAcentral.